Molecule: RNase P RNA, 459 nt
Filed under: Gallionella sp.
Lineage: Bacteria; Pseudomonadati; Pseudomonadota; Betaproteobacteria; Nitrosomonadales; Gallionellaceae
Description: RNase P RNA component class A
Rfam family: Bacterial RNase P class A
About the family: Ribonuclease P (RNase P) is a ubiquitous endoribonuclease, found in archaea, bacteria and eukarya as well as chloroplasts and mitochondria. Its best characterised activity is the generation of mature 5'-ends of tRNAs by cleaving the 5'-leader elements of precursor-tRNAs.
Source: RNAcentral
GAAGCUGGCUAGGCAGUCGCCGCGUCCGUAAGCGUGUGGGUUGUGGUGUAGGUUGAUUGGCGUAAGCGAGUCAUACCGAACCAAAAUCCGGGGUAACCCGGGUUUUUCCCGCAUGCCACGGCGGGGAGGAAAGUCCGGGCUCCAUAGAGCAGGAUGCCGGUUAACGACCGGACGCCGUGAGGCGAUGGAAAGUGCCACAGAAAAUACACCGCCGAUGGCUAGGCCGAGUUCCGCGAGGAGCUUGGUUUGGAUCAGGUAAGGUUGAAAUGGCGAGGUAAGAGCUCACCGCGCUGGUGGCAACAUCAGUGGCAGGGUAAACCCCAUCCGGAGCAAGAUCAAAUAGGCUGACCAUGGCGUGGCUCGCGUCGUCAGCGGGUAGAUUGCUUGAGCGUCAGGUAACGAAACGCCUAGAGGAAUGACUGUCCACGACAGAACCCGGCUUAUCGGCCAGCUUCACCC